Molecule: long non-coding RNA, 1952 nt
Organism: Helianthus annuus (common sunflower)
Lineage: Eukaryota; Viridiplantae; Streptophyta; Magnoliopsida; Asterales; Asteraceae
Exons: 10
Source: RefSeq, a predicted model, not a curated record
CCUUUAAACUCCAAUUUUUUAACUGCUAACAUGCAGUUCACGGCAGUUUCCCAGGCUCCGCCUUUUCCUGCCCAUUUUCUCCACAAAACUGCAUCGUGGUUUGCAGUUGUCGAUGGUCUCCUCUCCUCUGCAGUUAUCAACGGUUCAGUAGCCCGCUCCCCCUUCUUAUUUUUAGGGUUGUUUCCUCUCUAAACACCUAAACUUGUGUCACCCUUCUUUAUCACCUAAACUUGGGUUGCAGUUGUCGAUGGUCUCCUCUCCUCUGCAUCGUCUCAGAUAUAUCACUAAAUCCUUACCGCAAAUUCCACGAAUUCAUCAUCGCCGCCGAUGAAAUUGAUAACCGGAGCCGGAGCGUUGACGAAAAUCUGUGACGUUAGGGUUGUGGAGCUUCAUUUUUUCAUUCUCUGAUAUAUCACCAAAUCCUUACCGCAACUUCCAAGAUGGUGAUUUAGGGAUUGGUUUCAAUCACCAUAUGUUACUUCCAAAUGUGUCACAAGCGUGACUUAGUUCUCUAGCGAUGGUGAAGAUAUAUCCCUCCGAUCAGUACGUACCCACUCGGAUCCAUCACCCAGACGUUUGCCGGUCAUGUCUCAACCCCUUAUCUCGCAGCUUUCUCGAUCAAAAAAUGGGGAUUAUGGGAUGCAAUUUUAUUCCUUAAGAGAAUUGAUGUGGACAAAUAUAUUUCUGAGGGUCAAAUGGAAGAGCUUACGAGUUGAGAAGCAAAGGUUACAUAAGCACACAUUGAAUGCAAACAGUGAAGUGCAGUCUGAACAUGAGCAGCAAGCCCUUCCUCUAUGUGCAGAUUUGAAUACUAAAGCAACUAAGUGAUGAAUUUGGAAAAAGACGAAAUUGCAGUCCGUAUGAAGUUAAAACAUUAACUGUUGGUUCUUUUCUUGGAUCCGAGGUUGUAACAUCCCUUUGGAAUCUCGGUGAGGAACAUGAGGCUUUAAAGAAGAAAUAUCAAGAAGAAUGCCAUGUUUUGAAGUACACAUGUCAAUUAGAGUUCACAGAGAAAAGGCAACAUUGGUAAUACAACAUCUAUCUAUUAUUUUUGUUGUUUCCACUGUAGUUACUGUUUUUGUUUUUUUGCUGCACAUUGCUUCUCAUACUAUGUGAAAUCACUGGUGAUGAAUAUGGAAAUAGCAAGAUGGUGAUUGUAGCAACACCAACUAAGGAAGAAACUGUGAGCCAAGUACUCGUAGUUAAACUGCCGAAGCGGAACAAUGAACCGAACCUGUUGACUCACUUUUUUUGGGAGGUUCACUUGGGUCAACGGUUUAUGAAUGCCCUUGUGGUAUGUCUUAGCACUCGAGGCUGAGGAGUUUGUAGAAGCCCAAUCGAUUUAAAGAGUAGAUGACGGUCAAGUUUAUUAAUUUGAAGUAAAAUGUUAUGUUACGUUUUUUAACUUACAAUAAGUUAUUAAUUUGAAGUUAAAUGUUGACUGAUGCCAUAACAUGUAUUUAUGGUGCUGGCCUCUUGCAGGAACUUUAAAAAGAUGUUCUUUUUAAUGUUUAUACCUUAAAACGAAAAGGACAUUAAAAGUUCUUUUCUUCAUCUUCUUGCCAUCUAAAAUCCAGGAAAGAGGUUUUUCGCUUUUUUAGAAGCCAUUUGAAAGAGACGACUUCAGUUCGGCCGGCCUUGUGUUGUUCGGGUAUGAAGACUAUCGAUGAGCAGGGGCGUAUUUUCUUAGUUGAUUCUUUUUCAAAACAAGAGAUUAAAGAUGCGGUUUUUGAGUGUGGUUCUAAUAAGGCGCCAGGACCCGACGGUUUCAACUUUCGGUUUCUCAAGCGCUUUUGGAGCUUGUUCGAGGAGGAUUUUUACAAGAUUAUGACAGAAUUUCACGUUUCAGGUAUUAUUAAUUCUGGUUGCGGGUCCUCCUUUAUUACCUUGAUUCCAAAGGUUAAAUCUCCUAUGGGGCUUAAAGACUAUAGGCCUAUUACUCUUAUUGGUAU